This 117-nucleotide non-coding RNA is filed under the name Gorilla gorilla gorilla (western lowland gorilla). Lineage: Eukaryota; Metazoa; Chordata; Mammalia; Primates; Hominidae. The record is from Rfam by way of RNAcentral.
GCCGGGCGUGGUGGCCCACGCCUGUAAUCUCAGCAUGUUGGGAGGCUGAGGCGGGUGGAUCUCCUGAGGUCAGGAGUUUGAGACCAGCCUGGCCAACAUGGUGAAACCCCGUCUCUA